CACGUAGGGCGCAAGCGUUGUCCGGAAUUAUUGGGCGUAAAGAGCUCGUAGGCGGUCUGUUGCGUCCGCUGUGAAAACCCGGGGCUUAACCCUGGGCUGGCAGUGGAUACGGACAGACUAGAGGUAGGUAGGGGAGAAUGGAAUUCCCGGUGUAGCGGUGAAAUGCGCAGAUAUCGGGAGGAACACCGGUGGCGAAGGCGGUUCUCUGGGCCUUACCUGACGCUGAGGUGCGAAAGCGUGGGGAGCAAACAGG
This 253-nucleotide ribosomal RNA is filed under the name uncultured bacterium. RNAcentral's name for it is "partial 16S ribosomal RNA". It matches the Rfam family "Bacterial small subunit ribosomal RNA", at positions 524 to 776 of the family's 1533-position model. The record is from RNAcentral.